AUAAUCUUCAUCUACAGAAAGGUUCUAGAAUGCUCUUUCCCCCCCCCCAAAAAAAAACCUUGGGUACUGGAUAUUGAUGGUUAUUAUUACUUGGGUACCACACAGGUAACCUCUACAGCAGGUAGUUCAACAGAAGAUAUCUUUACUUUCUGAUGUAUAGAUGGGACAUGUCUUUCUGCCUGUUAGAAGACUUAUCGAGUGUAAUCCUUCCAGGACAUGUUGUGUCUCAGGGUACCUCAAAGGAGUGAUUAAGUAUGCGGAGUGGAGGGAGAUGAGAUGAAUCUAAGAAGUAAACAUUUGUGAAGCAUCUCCAUUCUGUCUGGAAUAAUGCGUGAAGUGGAGGGGAUAGUGGAACAUCUAACAAGCUUAACGUUGAUGUACUAGAUUAGACAUACUUGCUAUGUCCCUGCUAAUCCACCAUGAAGGUGCAGCUUCCAUCCUCUUAAAGCUCAGCUUACUAAAUGAUUUGUCUGACCAAGGAGUGAAGUCCAGGUAACGUUUUUGAUUUCUGAUGAAAUUCAGUUGCAGGAAUCUUGCAGAUUUUACUGAACCUAAAUAGUGUUCCUUUUAGAAACUCAGUCACUCUGCUAUAAGGACAUCUAAGCAACCUGGGAAUAACUACUCAAGUGUCUCAGCCAAGUUUCCCCAUCAAAGAAGCAUUAGGCUUACAUUCUGGCUGACAUGUAAUAUCAACUUGCUGGCCAUGUUAGGAAGCCAUCUUGGCACUGUAUCUUUUGUCUCUAUCCGCAGUGUCUCAGACAGAAGUCCCUCAGCUCUCCUCUAAUUCCUC
This 790-nucleotide long non-coding RNA is filed under the name Mus spicilegus (steppe mouse). Its description in RNAcentral is "lncRNA (ENSMSIG00000019983.1)". Lineage: Eukaryota; Metazoa; Chordata; Mammalia; Rodentia; Muridae. The record is from RNAcentral.